RNA transcript from Gorilla gorilla gorilla (western lowland gorilla), 7290 nucleotides. It is a transcript of the gene named BOS complex subunit NOMO3-like, with no coding region annotated. NCBI's taxonomy places the organism in Eukaryota, Metazoa, Chordata, Mammalia, Primates, Hominidae. The transcript is spliced from 12 exons. The record is from RefSeq and is a predicted model, not a curated record.
GUUUCCUUGCCGAGCAUGCGCCUUAGUUCUCUCCUCUGGGGCUGUGAACGUGGGGUCGAAGCGCGCGUGCGCGGCGGCGGCAGGCGGCGGCGGUGGGGCGGGGCCUGGGCUGUCAGCCGGCCUAGGAGGAGGAAGGAGCCUGCAGCGUGCAGCGUGAGGGGCGGGACCCGGCUGCCGGCGGUGGGUCUAGCUGGGGGAGGUCGGGCCAUGCUGGUGGGCCAGGGCGCGGGGCCGCUGGGGCCCGCGGUGGUCACCGCCGCGGUGGUGCUGCUGCUGAGCGGCGUGGGGCCGGCGCACGGCUCGGAGGACAUCGUGGUGGGCUGCGGUGGCUUCGUCAAGUCGGACGUGGAGAUCAACUACUCGCUCAUCGAGAUAAAGCUGUACACCAAGCAUGGGACUUUGAAAUACCAGACAGACUGUGCCCCUAAUAAUGGUUACUUUAUGAUCCCUUUGUAUGAUAAGGGGGAUUUCAUUCUGAAGAUUGAGCCUCCCCUAGGGUGGAGUUUUGAGCCGACGACUGUGGAGCUCCAUGUGGAUGGAGUCAGUGACAUCUGCACAAAGGGCGGGGACAUCAACUUUGUCUUCACUGGGUUCUCUGUGAAUGGCAAGGUCCUCAGCAAAGGGCAGCCCCUGGGUCCUGCGGGAGUUCAGGUGUCUCUGAGAAACACUGGGACCGAAGCAAAGAUCCAGUCCACAGUUACACAGCCUGGCGGAAAGUUUGCAUUUUUUAAAGUUCUGCCUGGAGAUUAUGAAAUCCUCGCAACUCAUCCAACCUGGGCGUUGAAAGAGGCAAGCACCACAGUGCGUGUAACCAACUCCAAUGCCAAUGUGGCCAGUCCCCUCAUAGUUGCUGGCUACAAUGUGUCUGGCUCUGUCCGAAGUGAUGGGGAGCCCAUGAAAGGGGUGAAGUUUCUUCUCUUUUCUUCUUUAGUAACUAAAGAGAUUAAUCUUCAGUAUCUAUGAGUGCUGGGUGAUUUGCGGAAACUGCAGCUGCUUUAUCAAUAUCAGCUUGGCCUCCACUGAUCAAACCCUCAUUUAGGCGUUCACUGCCGUCUGCUGGAAACAGCCCAGGGAUGAGGAGGGAAGGGAAAAGGCCACUUCGGGAAGCCACCUUGCCUUGGAGUUUCCGUCGUUUUCCGAGCUCUCCCCCAGUCAUUCAAAGACACUGUGACCAGCUGGCCAGGUGACAAGAAGUCCUAGGGCACAAGCCUGAAGCCUUCGGGAGAAAUUUCAGCUUUACAGGGGGCAGAAUGUUUGGUAACUAUUUAGAUUUAAAGCAGAAGCACUUUGGAUUGAGCAAUUUCAUAUGUGACAACUGUCUUUGCCACAAGCAACAGCAGAGACCUGCAGAUGAGAACACCUUUAUGAAGAGCAAGACCAUGCUUUGAAGUUGGACAGAGAUCUUGGUUCAAAUCCUGGCUCUGCCGCUUGUUAGCUAAGUCACUUCAGGUAUCUAAGUGUCAUGAUUUAGAUGUCCUGGCAUGCACUGUGCUCUUUUUCUGGAAGCCUCUUUUCUUUCUUCAUCCAACUACCUCCUCUUCUUCCUUCAAGACUCAGCUGAGACUCUCUUGAGCAAAUUUUCCAAGACUCCUUAAGGGGAAGGACCUGGUCCAAGUUGACUUGGUGUCUCCGUCAUCAAGCACAAUGCCUGGUUCACAAUGGACUCUUCAUGCAUCUCUUUCUAUAACAUGAGAAGGAUCAGAGGGCCAGUCAUUCAUAUGAUUGAAAAAUUUAAAAACAAGAGUAUGCUAGAAUAGUCAGUGAAAAUUGUCCCUUCUGCCCGGAACAUUUCCUGUUCACAGACAGCCAUUGUUAUGUGUUUCUUCUUUAUCUUUGCAGAAUUUCAGGUACGUACAAGCAAAUACAAAUGUAUAUGCACUUCUUUUUUUUUUUAUUACACAGACAGUUCUGUAUCCUGCCUUUUAAAACUUAUAUCCUUCUUAUCUUUCUGUAUCAGGGUAUAGUGAGUUCUUUCAUUCUUACUUAUAAUUAUAUGUUUUUCUAUUAUAAUGGAUAUAUUAUGUCUUAUUUAAUUAUUUCUCUCUUGAUGAACAGUUGGGAAAGUUCUCAUCUUUUGCUAUUACAAACCACAAUGCGAUGAAUAACAUUGCAUGUAUGUCAUUGUGUACAGGUGUGCGUAUAUUCUAGGAUAAAUUUCCAAAAGUAGAAUUGCUGAGUUACAGGGUAAAUGCAUUUCUGAUUCUGAUAGUGCUCAAAGGUCCGGGGGCACAUAGAGAUGGUGCUUUAGCAGUGAGCUUAGGCUGACAGCGGUUAAGAGAGACAUGCCUCAGGUUGCCAGUUAAAAAAAAAAUCUGCAUAAUGUGUUGCUUAAAGAAUGUGGUAAGGUGAAAGCUUGGAAAUACUGGUGUCAUUGGAAAGACAGAAAUAAGACAGAGAUUGUGUUGGGAAGAGAACAUGGAAUUUCAAGUAAUUUCUGCCUGGGUUUGCAUCUUGACCCUGCCACUCCUGGCUAUAUGACCUUGGGCAGGUUGCUUCACAUCUCUGAGCUCAGUAUUCUCACCUGUAAAAUAAAGACCAUGAUAACUUCCAUUAUAGGCUGCUGGAGGAAGUAAAGAAGAAAAUAUAAACAGCAGUUAGCAUGAUGUCUGGCACAUGGUGUGCAUUCAGGAUAUAACUGGGGCCUUUGGGAACCAGGCAAUAUUCCAGACAAACAUGACAUCAGUAACAUCCAUAUGUCUGUGAUGGGGUAGGAGAGAAGACUACUUUUCAGGUGGGACAUUUUGAUUGGAGAGGGUCUCUGAUUCAGAGAGUGAGGUGAGCUAUUUUCUUCUUGGGAGUUCUUGGCAUUUGAUAAUCCUUGGUGUUUAUUUCAAAUUAUGGAAGAAUUUGAGAUUUACUUAGACAUCUUGGCAUGCAGCGCUAAACCUCAGACUUCCUGAAUUUAUUUACCAGCUAGGGGAAGCAUAUUCCCCACUUUAAUUUUAUUUACAAAGGGCUCUAGUCUGGUGUGAAGUCUGAAGGCAUAUUUGUUGUAGGAGUUACUCAAUUAGCCAGCGAGAAAAGAACAAAGGAAAAGUCAUUAUGCAGAUGUAUGCCCAUUCAAAGCUAUUCCGCCUCUAGAUGCUUUCUUCGUAGUGAAUGGAGGAACUCCAGUCUGCAAGUCUCUCGUCUCUGCUGUGUUUUCUGCUAAUUCUCUUCUAAUAUUAGGCCAUGAAUGAUUAAUAAUAUUGCAUUUUGACACUGUUAGAUUUUGUCAAUUUUUUUCAAUAUAAAAGCAGAUAAUUACAGAUUACUUUAACAUCCAGGAAGUGAAAUCAACCAUGAAUUACACUCAGACUCAUCCACAACCCCUUGAAUAUAUUUCUUUUUUUUUUUUCAAUAGGAGAUUGAAGUUUCUUUCUUUAGUCAUUUACACAAGUCAUGUCUGACAAUUGAGAAAAUGCUGUUCACAUAAAACAUCAUAAAUUAAAAAUAUACAGUGUUUGUAUUUUAAUACAAUAGGGUCCCAGGAUUCAAACAAAGAAUUCUGAUCUCAGAAGUUGCAUUAUGUAGUUAUGUGUUCUGCUUUAAAGCACUAUACUGGAGGUGAACUUGAAACUGCCUUUGCAGAAAUUAUAACUGAGGAAAUUAUGACAAUGAAGGAGAUCAGACCUAACCAGCUACAGCUUGCAUCUAAUCUUAAAGCUAUCCUUAUUCAUUCCUGGGCAUAGGCCGAAAUAACCUUGGGAAGGAAUUUACAGUUUGACUCUGAAACAAAAUUGAUAAUAGCCCUUUCCUGAAAAGACCCCUUUCUUGCCUGGUGACCAGUCUGCCUUUGUAGGACUAACAAAUUGGCUACAAGAUUGGAAAUUAUGGUUUAGGGGUCAUGCAGCCCCUGACUCCAAGAGUCUGAACCUCCCCAGAUUGCUCCUAGGGAUAGCAUCAUUAUUGUAAAACUGAAGAUCAGUGCUUGAGAUAUCUGCAAACCCUGCACUCAGUGGAUCAGCUGACACCACCCAGACUGGUAACUUGGCUCCCAGUUCUGCCAUCCCACCCAGGAACAGAAGACCACAAGAAAACCUCACUUCCACCCCCUAUGAUACCAUCUCCAACCUGACCAAUCAGCACCACUUCCUGGGCCGCUGCCCACCAAAGUAUCUCUAAAAACUCUGAUCCCCAAAUGCUCCAGGAAGGCUGAUUUGAAUAAUAAUAAAACUCAGGUCUCCCACACACGUGGCUCCGUGUGAAUUACUGUUUUUCCACUGCAAUUCCCCCAUCUUGCUAAAUUGGCUCUGUCUAGGCAGGGGGCCAGGUGAACGCAUUGGAUGGUAUAUUUCUCAAGAGUCAAAUAUUAAUAGGUUUCACAUGUAAGACUUACGUAUGUGUGUGUGUGUUUACAUACACAUAUAUUUCAAUAGCUUUUGGGGUUCAAGUGGUUUUUGGUUACAUGGAUGAAUUAUAAAUUAUAUAGUGGUAAAGUCUAAGAUUUUAGUACCUGUCACCUGAGUAGUGUACACUGUACCCAAUAUGUAGUUUUUGUAUCCUUCAUUCCCUUUUCAUCCUCUCCUCUUCUGAGUCUCCAGUGUCCAUUAUAUCACUCUGUAUGCCUUUAUGUACCUAUGGCUUAGUUCCCACUUAUAAGUGAGCAUAUAUGGUAUUUGGUUUUCCAUUCCUGAGUUAUUUCACUUAGAAUAACGGCCUCCAGCUCCAUCCAAGUUGCUGCAAUGACAUUAUUAUAUUAUUAUUUUUUCAUGGCUGAGUAGUAUUCCAUGGUGUAUAUGUACACACAUUUUCUUUAUCCACUCAUUGGUCAAUGAGCACUUAGGUUGGUUUCAUAUCUCGACAAUUGUGAAUCCUAAAUUUUACAUGCAAGGUUUUGCAUCUGUAGAGGAAGACAGGAUUCUCAGUGCAUGUGCCAAUUUUUGGGUUUUCCACUUGAGAAUCUUCACCAGUUUCCUCUUCAGAAUCAAAUUCCUGACUAUCUGGUGCUUCAAAGUUAUCCAGAGGUUCAUCAUUCAGUCUCUGGGUUGCCUCUGUCAUAUACUGUACUCUGCCGCUUUUGCCAAUUGCUUACUCUCCUUUUCCAAGUGGUCAAUUUCAUUGUUCUUUCUUCAAUUUCUCUGUGAAGCUUCUCAUUUUUCUUAAGUGUUUCAUAGAGGGUGUUCCUUUGUUCUGCUACUUCUCUCCAAUAUUGAGGGGAUAAAUUUCAUUUAAUCCUAAGAUCAAAUGCUUCUUGGGUGACUCCUCCAAGGAUUUAAUUGUCACUCUAUUCUGGGACAAUGACAACUCUAGAGUGGGAAGUCCUGGCUGUCAACUGGUCAUUCCAAUGCUUCCUCUUGGAUAUGUUUUGGGCCAGUCACUUUUUUUUUUUUUUCCCAACAAGAGAUCUGGCUGUGGAAGGAUGAAUCAUCUUCAGAGUUCUUCUUGGGGAGAAACUGUUCUUUACAUUCUCUUUGAUUCUUCCUUGUUUCUACUUUAUCCUAGGAUUCAUUAUACAGCUGGUAAAGCACAAAAGAUGGGAGGAGAGGAUUAAUGAUCAUAGUGAAUUCAGGUGGCUGUGGCACAGCCAACCUACAUUGAUCCCCACUGUCGCUGGAGUGGCUGGGGCACACUGCUGAAAAGACUUACUCCUCUUGAACAUACUCCUUUGAGUCGUUUUUGUAUAUGUAAUUUUGCAUAUUUUUUUCUUUUUUUAUUAUUAUACUUUAAGUUUUAGGGUACACGUGCACAACAUGCAGGUUAGUUAUGUAUGUAUACAUGUGCCAUGUUGGUGUGCUGCACCCAUUAACUCGUCAUUUAGCAUUAGGUAUACUUUUAAUCAUAGUGCCAUACAAUUGUAUUGCAUUUUCCAUUUAUAGCAUAUUAUAAUUAUUUUGACUUUUAUUAUGAAAUUUUCAAACAGAAAAGUAGAUAGUAUAAUAAAAUAAAAAGUAUAUAUAUAACAAGUAUGUCGGCUGGGUGUGGUGGCUCAUGCCUUUAAUCCCAGCACUUUGGGAGGCUGAGGCAGGCAGAUCACUUGAGGUCAGGAGUUCGAGACCAGCCUGGCCAACAUGGUGAAACGCUAUCUCUACUAAAAAUAAAAAAAAUUAGCUGGGUUUGGUGGUGGGUGCCCGUAAUCCCAUCUACUCAAGAGGCUGAGGCAGGGGAAUCACUUGAACCUGGGAGGUGGAGGUUGCAGUGAGCCAAGAUCAUGCCACUGCACUCCAGCCUGGGCAACAGAGCAAGACUCCAUCUAAAAAAAAAUUAUAUAUAUAACAAGUAUGUAAACAAAAUACAUAAGUAAAAGGUAGAAUAAAAAAAGAUAGCAUAAUACACACCCAUGUAUUUAUCGCUUAGAAUUAACACGAAUAUUAUAUUUUCUUUGUGCAUUUUUUCUUAAGUGGUUCAAAAGGAAGUACAGACAUCAUGAUAUUAAACCCUAAAUCAGUGGCUCUCAACUGAGGGUAAUUUUGACCCAUGUCCUCCGCAAGAGGACUUUUGGCACUGUCUGGAGACAAUGUUGGUUGUCACAAAAGGAAGCAUGCCUGCAUCCCUGGUAGAGAUCAGGGAUGUUACUAAACAUGCUACAAUGCACAGGACUGCCCCCUCCAAAACAAAGAAUUACCUGGUUCUAAAUGCCAGUAGUGCUAAGGUUGAAAACCUUUGGUCUAAAUGAUUAAGAAUGCGUUUCUUAAAUUGCAAAAUUUCACAUAACCGCAUAGCACCAUCACUUCUAACAAAGUGAAAAAUAACUCUUUAAAAUUGUCUAAUAACCAGUCCAUGUUUCUCCACCAUUCCACUAAAAUGUUUUUUACAGCUGGUUUUAGCAAACACUUUCCAUUUUAUUAGCACUGCUAAUAGAAUCUCAUUCUAAAUGACUACAGAAGAGUCUGUUCAAUGGAUUCCCUGAAAUUUAUUCAAAGGAUCUAUUUUUAGAUACUAGUUUUGCUUCCAGGUUUUAGACAAAUUAUAUUUUUGUAAAUAAUGACAGUUUACUUCUUUUCUUACUUUGUGCCUUUUCUUUCUUUUAUUUGCCUUAUGUUCUGGCUAAAAACUUCAGUGAAUACUGAACACAGCGUAUGAGAGUGGGCAUCCUUUUGUUGUUCCAGAUUUUAGGAGCAAAAGAUUUAAUAUUUUAUUAAUUAUGAUAUUAACUGUAGGUUUUUAAAGAUGAACCUUAUCAUAUUGGAGAUGUUCCCAUCUAUUCCUAGUUUCACUGAGCGUUUUUAUCAUAAAGAACUAAUGAUUUCUGUCAAAUUUUUUUUCUGUGUAUUUUGAAAUGAUCAAAUGGUUUUCCCUGUUACUCUGUUAUAGUAUGAUGAAUUAUAUUGAUUGAAUUUCAUUAAACCAACCUUGCUUUCUUGGAAUAAA